CAGUCGCCGCGGUAAUACGAAGGGGGCUAGCGUUGCUCGGAAUGACUGGGCGUAAAGGGCGCGUAGGCGGAUUGUUUAGUUAGGCGUGAAAUUCCUGGGCUUAACCUGGGGACUGCGCUUAAUACAGGCAGUCUAGAGUGAGGAAGAGGGUUGUGGAAUUCCCAGUGUAGAGGUGAAAUUCGUAGAUAUUGGGAAGAACACCGGUGGCGAGGGCGGCGACCUGGUCCUUGACUGACGCUGAGGCGCGAAAGCGUGGGGAGCAAACAGGAUUAGAUACCCCAGUAGUCCCUGUCUCUUAUAC
This 301-nucleotide ribosomal RNA is filed under the name uncultured bacterium. RNAcentral's name for it is "partial 16S ribosomal RNA". It matches the Rfam family "Bacterial small subunit ribosomal RNA", at positions 509 to 807 of the family's 1533-position model. The record is from RNAcentral.